GUGGGGAAUUUUGGACAAUGGGCGAAAGCCUGAUCCAGCCAUGCCGCGUGUGUGAAGAAGGUCUUCGGAUUGUAAAGCACUUUAAGUUGGGAGGAAGGGCAGUAAGUUAAUACCUUGCUGUUUUGACGUUACCAACAGAAUAAGCACCGGCUAACUUCGUGCCAGCAGCCGCGGUAAUACGAAGGGUGCAAGCGUUAAUCGGAAUUACUGGGCGUAAAGCGCGCGUAGGUGGUUCAGCAAGUUGGAGGUGAAAUCCCCGGGCUCAACCUGGGAACUGCCUCCAAAACUACUGAGCUAGAGUACGGUAGAGGGUAGUGGAAUUUCCUGUGUAGCGGUGAAAUGCGUAGAUAUAGGAAGGAACACCAGUGGCGAAGGCGACUACCUGGACUGAUACUGACACUGAGGUGCGAAAGCGUGGGGAGCAAACAGGAUUAGAUACCCGUGUAGUCC
Molecule: ribosomal RNA, 450 nt
Filed under: uncultured bacterium
Lineage: Bacteria
Description: partial 16S ribosomal RNA
Rfam family: Bacterial small subunit ribosomal RNA
Source: RNAcentral